AUACGUAGGGGGCGCGCGUUGUCCGGAAUGAUUGGGCGUAAAGGGCGCGUAGGCGGCUUUGCAAGUCAGUAGUGGAAGUCCAUUUUUCAAGGAUGGAAGUGAUACAGCAACUGCGGAGCUUGAGUGCAGGAGAGGUUAUCGGAAUUCCCGGUGUAGCGGUGAAAUGCGUAGAGAUCGGGAGGAACACCAGUGGCGAAGGCGGGUAACUGGACUGCAACUGACGCUGAGGCGCGAAAGUGUGGGGAGCAAACAGGAUUAGAUACCCUGGUAGUCCACACUGUAAACGAUGAAUGCUAGGUGUAGGAGGUAUCGACCCCUUCUGUGCCGCAGUAAACACAGUAAGCAUUCCGCCUGGGGAGUACGGUCGCAAGAUUAAAACUCAAAUGAAUUGACGGGG
RNAcentral lists this ribosomal RNA (397 nucleotides) under uncultured bacterium. Its description in RNAcentral is "partial 16S ribosomal RNA". It matches the Rfam family "Bacterial small subunit ribosomal RNA", at positions 523 to 918 of the family's 1533-position model. The record is from RNAcentral.